Molecule: ribosomal RNA, 497 nt
Filed under: uncultured bacterium
Lineage: Bacteria
Description: partial 16S ribosomal RNA
Rfam family: Bacterial small subunit ribosomal RNA
Source: RNAcentral
GACGAACGCUGGCGGCGUGCCUAAUACAUGCAAGUAGAACGCUGAAGCGAGGAGCUUGCUCUUCUUGGAUGAGUUGCGAACGGGUGAGUAACGCGUAGGUAACCUGCCUUGUAGCGGGGGAUAACUAUUGGAAACGAUAGCUAAUACCGCAUAACAAUGGAUGACACAUGUCAUUUAUUUGAAAGGGGCAAUUGCUCCACUACAAGAUGGACCUGCGUUGUAUUAGCUAGUAGGUGAGGUAACGGCUCACCUAGGCGACGAUACAUAGCCGACCUGAGAGGGUGAUCGGCCACACUGGGACUGAGACACGGCCCAGACUCCUACGGGAGGCAGCAGUAGGGAAUCUUCGGCAAUGGGGGCAACCCUAACCGAGCAACGCCGCGUGAGUGAAGAAGGUUUUCGGAUCGUAAAGCUCUGUUGUAAGUCAAGAACGAGUGUGAGAGUGGAAAGUUCACACUGUGACGGUAGCUUACCAGAAAGGGACGGCUAACUACGUG